Molecule: ribosomal RNA, 429 nt
Filed under: Gemmatimonadota bacterium
Lineage: Bacteria; Pseudomonadati; Gemmatimonadota
Description: Gemmatimonadetes bacterium partial 16S ribosomal RNA
Rfam family: Bacterial small subunit ribosomal RNA
Source: RNAcentral
UAGGGAAUCUUCGGCAAUGGACGAAAGUCUGACCGAGCAACGCCGCGUGAGUGAAGAAGGUUUUCGGAUCGUAAAACUCUGUUGUUAGAGAAGAACAAGGACGUUAGUAACUGAACGUCCCCUGACGGUAUCUAACCAGAAAGCCACGGCUAACUACGUGCCAGCAGCCGCGGUAAUACGUAGGUGGCAAGCGUUGUCCGGAUUUAUUGGGCGUAAAGCGAGCGCAGGCGGUUUCUUAAGUCUGAUGUGAAAGCCCCCGGCUCAACCGGGGAGGGUCAUUGGAAACUGGGAGACUUGAGUGCAGAAGAGAAGAGUGGAAUUCCAUGUGUAGCGGUGAAAUGCGUAGAUAUAUGGAGGAACACCAGUGGCGAAGGCGGCUCUCUGGUCUGUAACUGACGCUGAGGCGCGAAAGCGUGGGGAGCAAACAGG